This 498-nucleotide ribosomal RNA is filed under the name Scutiger tengchongensis. Its description in RNAcentral is "partial large subunit ribosomal RNA". It matches the Rfam family "Bacterial large subunit ribosomal RNA", at positions 1855 to 2568 of the family's 2925-position model. The record is from RNAcentral. Lineage: Eukaryota; Metazoa; Chordata; Amphibia; Anura; Megophryidae.
ACGCCUGCCCAGUGACUUUAUGUUUAACGGCCGCGGUACUCUGACCGUGCAAAGGUAGCGUAAUCACUUGUCUUUUAAAUAAGGACUAGUAUGAAUGGCAUCACGAGGGCUUAGCUGUCUCCCUAAUCUAAUCAGUGAAACUGAUCUCCCUGUGAAAAAGCAGGGAUUAACACAUAAGACGAGAAGACCCUAUGGAGCUUUAAACCAAAAACUACCUGUUUAAUCUAUUGUACGAAAGAUAAUACUAAAUCAACUGAUCUAGUUUAGGUUUUCAGUUGGGGUGACUGUGGAGAAAAACAAAUCCUCCACGCAGACUUAAGCUUUGAGCAACCGCUCUACGCAUUAGCAAGUCUAACUGCACUUGAUCCAAUAUUUUUGAUCAACGGACCAAGUUACCCUAGGGAUAACAGCGCAAUCCAUUUCAAGAGUCCCUAUCGACAAAUGGGUUUACGACCUCGAUGUUGGAUUAGGACACCCAAGUGGUGCAGCCGCUACUUA